GGGAGGCAGCAGUGGGGAAUUUUGGACAAUGGACGAAAGUCUGAUCCAGCAAUGCCGCGUGCAGGACGAAGGCCUUCGGGUUGUAAACUGCUUUUGUACGGAACGAAAAAGUCUUUUUUAAUAAAGAAGGCUUAUGACGGUACCGUAAGAAUAAGCACCGGCUAACUACGUGCCAGCAGCCGCGGUAAUACGUAGGGUGCAAGCGUUAAUCGGAAUUACUGGGCGUAAAGCGUCCGCAGGCGGUUCUAUAAGACAGAUGUGAAAUCCCUGGGCUCAACCUAGGAACUGCAUUUGUGACUGUAGAGCUAGAGUACGGCAGAGGGGGAUGGAAUUCCGCGUGUAGCAGUGAAAUGCGUAGAUAUGCGGAGGAACACCGAUGGCGAAGGCAAUCCCCUGGGCCUGUACUGACGCUCAUGGACGAAAGCGUGGGGAGCAAACAGGAUUAGAUACCCCGGUAGUCCU
This 462-nucleotide ribosomal RNA is filed under the name uncultured bacterium. Its description in RNAcentral is "bacterial SSU rRNA". It matches the Rfam family "Bacterial small subunit ribosomal RNA", at positions 343 to 797 of the family's 1533-position model. The record is from RNAcentral.